GGAUCGCAAGACCUUGCGCUUUUGGAGCGGCCGAUGUCUGAUUAGCUAGUUGGUGAGGUAAAGGCUUACCAAGGCGACGAUCAGUAGCUGGCCUGAGAGGACGACCAGCCACACUGGGACUGAGACACGGCCCAGACUCCUACGGGAGGCAGCAGUGGGGAAUUUUGGACAAUGGGGGAAACCCUGAUCCAGCCAUGCCGCGUGAGUGAAGAAGGCCUUCGGGUUGUAAAGCUCUUUCAGCCGGAACGAAAAGGUCACGGCUAAUACCCGUGACAAAUGACGGUACCGGAAGAAGAAGCACCGGCUAACUACGUGCCAGCAGCCGCGGUAAUACGUAGGGUGCAAGCGUUAAUCGGAAUUACUGGGCGUAAAGCGUGCGCAGGCGGUUUCGUAAGUCAGAUGUGAAAUCCCCGGGCUUAACCUGGGAACUGCGUUUGAA
RNAcentral lists this ribosomal RNA (439 nucleotides) under uncultured beta proteobacterium. RNAcentral's name for it is "bacterial SSU rRNA". It matches the Rfam family "Bacterial small subunit ribosomal RNA", at positions 201 to 631 of the family's 1533-position model. The record is from RNAcentral. Lineage: Bacteria; Pseudomonadati; Pseudomonadota; Betaproteobacteria.